RNAcentral lists this small RNA (152 nucleotides) under Aeromicrobium sp. Root495. Its description in RNAcentral is "c-di-AMP riboswitch aptamer (ydaO/yuaA leader)". It matches the Rfam family "c-di-AMP riboswitch aptamer (ydaO/yuaA leader)". From Rfam's summary of the family: This family represents a conserved RNA structure found upstream of the ydaO and yuaA genes in Bacillus subtilis and related genes in other bacteria. The ydaO/yuaA element is thought to act as a genetic "off" switch for the ydaO and yuaA genes in its native state. It is believed that the element may be triggered during osmotic shock leading to activation of ydaO, a predicted amino acid transporter gene, and members of the yuaA-yubG operon which code for KtrA and KtrB K+ transporters. The record is from Rfam by way of RNAcentral. RNAcentral also lists the same sequence under 1 other name. Lineage: Bacteria; Bacillati; Actinomycetota; Actinomycetes; Propionibacteriales; Nocardioidaceae.
UCGGAUGCACCGCCGAGUCGUUGCGGGCGUGGGGAAGAUGUCCGCUGCGAGCCGGGGACCCAUGUGUGUGGGGUGAAUCGACGCGUCAGCGUCGUAGGGCGCCUACGGCCCGAACCCGUCAGCUCACCCGGUAGGCGCCUGAGGACAACACA